GAUGAAGAACGUAGCGAAAUGCGAUACGUAGUGUGAAUUGCAGAAUUCAGUGAAUCAUCGAAUCUUUGAACGCACAUUGCGCCCUUUGGUAUUCCAAAGGGCAUGCCUGUUCGAGCGUCAUUUGUACCCUCAAGCUUUGCUUGGUGUUGGGCGUCUUGUCUCCAGUCCGCUGGAGACUCGCCUUAAAGUCAUUGGCAGCCGGCCUACUGGUUUCGGAGCGCAGCACAAGUCGCACUCUUUUCCCGCCAAGGUCAGCGUCCAACAAGCCUUUUUUCAACUUUUGACCUCGGAUCAGGUAGGGAUACCCGCUGAACUUAAGCAUAUCAAUAAGCGGAGGA
Molecule: unclassified non-coding RNA, 338 nt
Filed under: soil metagenome
Description: partial contains 5.8S ribosomal RNA, internal transcribed spacer 2, and large subunit ribosomal RNA
Rfam family: 5.8S ribosomal RNA (bases 1-120)
Source: RNAcentral